Caenorhabditis elegans is the source of this 102-nucleotide non-coding RNA. Lineage: Eukaryota; Metazoa; Nematoda; Chromadorea; Rhabditida; Rhabditidae. The record is from Ensembl.
CCAUUAUCACACCUGUUGGUUUGAUUUCGGCCGACAGGUGCCCCCUUGCCAAGGAGGCUCGUUGGUGUUGAUAUGAGAGAUGUUGCACGGGCGGGAAGUCAG